CAUGAGGUACUUAUCAAAUCUUAUGAUAUACUCGGUGACUGAUCUAUUCCCUUGAGUGAGCCUUUACCAUUGAUCUAAAAGUCUUUAUUGGUAGGAGGUGGGGAGGUACUUCUCUCUGAGUUUCUCUUUCAUCUCAUCUCAGAUUUCUAUCGGGUCUUGUCUUCUCUGGUUGAGAAGACGCUCAACAUUUUUCCAAUAAAGUCGGACUUGCCCAACCAACUUCAUCCUAGC
Molecule: long non-coding RNA, 231 nt
Filed under: Elaeis guineensis (African oil palm)
Lineage: Eukaryota; Viridiplantae; Streptophyta; Magnoliopsida; Arecales; Arecaceae
Description: long non-coding RNA (EGUI_LNC034147)
Source: RNAcentral